This is a long non-coding RNA of Danio rerio (zebrafish), 547 nucleotides long. The record is from Ensembl. NCBI's taxonomy places the organism in Eukaryota, Metazoa, Chordata, Actinopteri, Cypriniformes, Danionidae.
UAUCAGGCGUUACUGACAAACAAAUGAAGUGGCUUCAAGCAAAAGAACACAUUUUUGUUGUGUCAGCACUCUGAGUCCUCCACCAUCUGCUGCAUCUAGACUCAAAGGCCUGAGGUGGAUGACAGACACAGUGCCUUCUGAGGUCAGAAAACCAUCACCUUCUGUUUGGACAGACGCAACACUGAAAUACGAGCUUUGAGAAAAAUUAAAGCUGGUACCAGUGAGGACACCUUGGUUCAGUCUGAUGCAUGUUGUUCUCCUUAAAGGUAAACUGGCUCCUACGGUGUCUCCCUCUCCAGCUGGGGAUGAAUGAAUUUAUUUUGGCAGAGGAGAGAUGGGUCUCUGUGUGCACAUAUUCCAGUGACCAGCCUUCGGUACCCACAGACUCCCACACCAUCUGGAAUGCUAAAUGGCACACUCACCUAGAAAAGUGACACAGCUCUUCUACAAGGAGUACACCUGAUGGAAGAUGGCAGUGAGGGGGGAAAAUGGAGCUUGAAAUGGAGUAUUCAGCUCAGUGUGGUGCUUUUGGACAGUCUGAUCUUCC